UACGAAGGGGGCUAGCGUUGUUCGGAAUUACUGGGCGUAAAGGGCGCGUAGGCGGUGUGUCAAGUCAGGCGUGAAAGCCCCGGGCUCAACCUGGGAACCGCGCUUGAGACUGGCACGCUCGAGUUCGGGAGAGGAUGGUGGAAUUCCCAGUGUAGAGGUGAAAUUCGUAGAUAUUGGGAAGAACACCGAUGGCGAAGGCAGCCAUCUGGACCGACACUGACGCUGAGGCGCGAAAGCGUGGGGAGCAAACAGG
This 253-nucleotide ribosomal RNA is filed under the name uncultured bacterium. RNAcentral's name for it is "partial 16S ribosomal RNA". It matches the Rfam family "Bacterial small subunit ribosomal RNA", at positions 524 to 776 of the family's 1533-position model. The record is from RNAcentral. RNAcentral also lists the same sequence under 2 other names.